CUUGGGUUGAAUCUCCAAAUCCCCAACAAAUAAAAACCCACCAGUCCUACUUUCUGAAAAGUAAUUGUUCAUUGAGUUCAACUAACUUAUAGAAAAAUAUUCUGUAUUUAUGAUUUCUAGAGCGGCUGGUUGUAGAUGAAAACAGUUUUGAGCUGGGGAAGGGAGGUAUGGAAAAGUGAAAGGACGAAAAGUUAAAGCGCUGAGGACGCUGUGAACCAAACGCACUUACAUAUUUUUAGAAAUAAAAGUGACAACCUUGCAUAAGAGCUACUUUGCUGGCGAUUCUGGGAAGUGUGGUCCAGAAGCUCCAGGUGGUCAGCCACUUCCGCGUAGCACGGGGACUACUGCCCGUGUUCCUCCCAGGAAUUCUGGGAAGUGUAGUCCGGGAGCCGAGUCCAGGCCUGAGCACUUCCGCCUCAGGAGGGCAUCAUCAAUGCCCACUGGGAGGUGAGUAUCCUUUGCGUCUGCUCAGGUCUUUCCUGGGUUGCGGGUGGAAUACGGAGGUGUUGGCCCUAACUCUGGGGGAAAAUAAGCCUUGGCGGCAGAGGCGACGGUCUGCGUCUCCCUCGCUUGUAGGGUUUUUGCACGUCCCUGAGUCGGGGGCGGGCCCCGGUCGCGCAUCACUGCUUUGGGGUCUCCCCCGCUCUCGGGUCUCCUGUUUCCCCCGCUUUCCACACGCUCUGCAGCUCUCUGGCCGUGUAAUCUUAGUAGUUACCCAACGACGCCGUUUCCCCUCUGCACAGGGGUUUAUUUGUAGCCGACCUAGUAGGGGCUGGGAGGGUUAUCAGAACCAUCCUGGCACGGCUGCUGCCGGCGGCCAAUUCCCGAGAAGCCCUCGGGUGCUGAGCUCCCUCCGCAGCGCCUUUGGUCCGGCUUUGAGCCUAAUGACCCCUGGCCUGUGUCCCCCUUCUGUCGCAUGCCUGGGGUCGCUCACUGGGAGUUAUCCUGGACCAGGGACACAAUCUCAUAUUCCAUCCUCCUUUCCUUCCUCGGCCCCCACUUCUCAAAAAGGACUGCGGAUAGUUGAAGGGUGUGACCCCUUGGCGACACCAUCCAAUGUGAGAGGUUGCAUGCCAUUUCUACUCCGUUAUUAUUCCUGAGCCACAGAGGAGGCCCAAGAGGAUAAUUCAUCUACAGAAUGUCACUCAGCCAUCACUAGAAGUAAAGCCAUCUGAAAUGGCAUGUCCCCAUCUUUUUCUCCCUGACACCCUUCAUCCUGAUCUGUUGGUUGUUAUUAUUACUUGUCUCCCCACUGUAGUAUCCAUUUCAUGGGCACAGGGACUUUCUUCACUGCUGUCUUUAAUACACAGAAUUGAAGAUUUAUUGAAUGAAGAAACGAAUAAACCUGGUCAGCAGUAAUAAGGUGCUCAGUUAAUGUAAAAUGUAUCUUGAUCACCUUUUCAUGCAAUCAUUCAUUUUUUUCAGCAUCUCAUAUAUUGCCUGCCUGCUGCAUUAACGAAUGCUCUACACUGGAUAAAAAGCAGUGAACAAAACAAGGAGGCUUCCAGUCCCAAAGUGGGGAUAGACCGAAAAUAAAUAAAAUGUGCAUUGGUAUGUUAGAGAGUGAGAGUGCUAAAUAUAUAAAGUGAAUGGGAGAAGAAGG
This 1603-nucleotide long non-coding RNA is filed under the name Marmota monax (woodchuck). Lineage: Eukaryota; Metazoa; Chordata; Mammalia; Rodentia; Sciuridae. The record is from RNAcentral.